GACGAACGCUGGCGGCGUGCUUAACACAUGCAAGUCGAGCGGUAAGGCCCUUUCGGGGGUACACGAGCGGCGAACGGGUGAGUAACACGUGGGUGACCUGCCCUCAGCUCUGGGAUAAGCCCUGGGAAACCGGGUCUAAUACUGGAUAUGACUCCAUGACGCAUGUUGUGGGGUGGAAAGCCUUGUGCGGCUGAGGAUGGGCCCGCGGCCUAUCAGCUUGUUGGUGGGGUGAUGGCCUACCAAGGCGACGACGGGUAGCCGGCCUGAGAGGGCGACCGGCCACACUGGGACUGAGACACGGCCCAGACUCCUACGGGAGGCAGCAGUGGGGAAUCUUGCGCAAUGGGCG
Molecule: ribosomal RNA, 349 nt
Filed under: uncultured bacterium
Lineage: Bacteria
Description: bacterial SSU rRNA
Rfam family: Bacterial small subunit ribosomal RNA
Source: RNAcentral